Molecule: ribosomal RNA, 278 nt
Filed under: uncultured Treponema sp.
Lineage: Bacteria; Pseudomonadati; Spirochaetota; Spirochaetia; Treponematales; Treponemataceae
Description: partial 16S ribosomal RNA
Rfam family: Bacterial small subunit ribosomal RNA
Source: RNAcentral
GCAGCCGCGGUAAUACGUAGGGGGCAAGCGUUAUCCGGAUUUACUGGGUGUAAAGGGAGCGUAGGCGGCGCGUCAAGUCAGAAGUGAAAGCCCGGGGCUCAACUCCGGGACUGCUUUUGAAACUGUCGUGCUUGAUUUCAGGAGAGGUAAGCGGAAUUCCUAGUGUAGCGGUGAAAUGCGUAGAUAUUAGGAGGAACACCAGUGGCGAAGGCGGCUUACUGGACUGACAAUGACGCUGAGGCUCGAAAGCGUGGGGAGCAAACAGGAUUAGAUACCCC